UACUGACUUCCUCUUGUACACGUUUGUGACUGACAUUUACCUCCAGCGUCACAGGCAGGAAGUAAAGAGGUCUGGUCAUGUGACCUUUCACACUAGAUACAUGAAAUUGAUAUUGCUUAGAGUAGACACAUUAUUAUUUUAUUUUAAAACUUCCAUUAACUGCCAAAAGUCAAAACAAUUGUUCUAGAGCUUCCAGAAGUUAGGAAAAAUGUCUGGCAACAAUUGUUGCCGGUGGAAUUAAAUGGCUACAAUUGUGGGUUUAAA
Long non-coding RNA from Xiphophorus couchianus (Monterrey platyfish), 264 nucleotides. RefSeq lists it as uncharacterized. The transcript has 3 exons. Lineage: Eukaryota; Metazoa; Chordata; Actinopteri; Cyprinodontiformes; Poeciliidae. The record is from RefSeq and is a predicted model, not a curated record.